RNAcentral lists this ribosomal RNA (480 nucleotides) under uncultured bacterium. RNAcentral describes it as "partial 16S ribosomal RNA". It matches the Rfam family "Bacterial small subunit ribosomal RNA", at positions 28 to 507 of the family's 1533-position model. The record is from RNAcentral.
GGCGAACGCUGGCGGCGUGCUUAACACAUGCGAGUCGAACGAUGAAGAAAAGAAUCGAAGCUUCGGCAGAAAUUCAUUUCGGAUUAGUGGCAGACGGGUGAGUAACGCGUGAGCAACCUACCUCUUACAAAGGGAUAGCCUCGGGAAACCGGGAUUAAUACCAUAUAACAUUGCGACGAAGCAUUUCGAUGCAAUCAAAGCUACGGCGGUAAGAGAUGGGCUCGCGUCCCAUUAACCGGAUGGUGAGGUAACGGCUCACCAUAGUGACGAUGGGUAACCGGCCUGAGAGGGUGAACGGUCACACUGGAACUGAGACACGGUCCAGACUCCUACGGGAGGCAGCAGUGGGGAAUAUUGCACAAUGGAGGGAACUCUGAUGCAGCGACGCCGCGUGAGUGAUGAAGGAAUUCGUUUCGUAAAACUCUGUUCUAUGGGAAGAAAAGGACUGUACCAUAGGAGAAAGCUCCGGCUAAAUACGUG